Molecule: long non-coding RNA, 1040 nt
Filed under: Homo sapiens (human)
Lineage: Eukaryota; Metazoa; Chordata; Mammalia; Primates; Hominidae
Description: long non-coding RNA NONHSAT188633.1
Source: RNAcentral
GAAGACGGAGGCGGGUUCUGGACAGACGUAGGCUGUCAGGGAGUGUUUACUUCGCCUCCACUUCUGUUCCUCCCUGCCCUGGUGCUGCUCCAGGUCACAUACUCGUCCUGAGCCGGCUUCAGCCUGUCCGCGCAGAAGUCUCCCGGAGCCAUGGCCUAGUACUCUUAUGUGAAGUCUAGCAAGCUCGUGCUCAAGGGAACCGAGGUGAAGAGCUGGGUCCUGCAGCUCUGGUGGGAGCCUCCUCAGUUCUUUUCGGAUGCACUCCACCCCCGCGAAUCCGGUGGAAGCCGUGGUGCAGAGAGCCGGCUUUGUGGCCUCCCAGGCUUCGCUCUGACCCUGUCUGGGCUGGACGGAGGCCGGACCGCGGUUCCUGGCGCCUGUGCAGAGAGGGGCAGCCUCCCGUGCUGACGACCCUGGAAACAGGAUAGACGGGCGGGUGACCCGUGGCCCCGUACCCACGAGUUUGGGUCCCCUGAGGCAUCUCUCCAGGCCUCUGCCUGUAAGAAGAAAAAGAGCAAAGAUAAGAAGAGAAAAAGAGAAGAUGAAGAAACCCAGCUUGAUACGUUGGAAUCUGGUGAACAGUAACAAACUUUGGUGAAAUUUCAGGAACCAUAGCCAUUGAAAUGGAUGAGGGAACCUAUAUACAUGCACUCGACAAUGGUCUUUUUACCCUGGGAGCUCCACACAAAGAAGAAUCGCCCUGAAAUCUGGCUAUGGAAAAUAUCUUGGUAUAAAUUCAGAUGAACUUGUUGGGCAUUCAGAUGCAAUUGGACCAAGAGAACAAUGGGAACCAGUCUUUCAAAAUGGGAAAAUGGCUUUGUUGGCCUCAAAUAGCUGCUUUAUUAGAUGCAAUGAAGCAGGGGACAUAGAAGCAAAAAGUAAAACAGCAGGAGAAGAAGAAAUGAUCAAGAUUAGAUCCUGUGCUGAAAAAGAAACCAAGAAAAAAGAUGACAUUCCAGAAGAAGACAAAGGAAAUGUAAAACAAUGUGAAAUCAAUUAUGUAAAGAAAUUUCAGAGCUUCCAAGACCACAAACUUAAAA